This 914-nucleotide ribosomal RNA is filed under the name marine metagenome. RNAcentral's name for it is "bacterial SSU rRNA". It matches the Rfam family "Bacterial small subunit ribosomal RNA", at positions 8 to 968 of the family's 1533-position model. The record is from RNAcentral.
AGAGUUUGAUCCUGGCUCAGGAUGAACGCUGGCGGCGUGCUUAACACAUGCAAGUCGAACGAACUUUCGGGUUAGUGGCGGACGGGUGAGUAACGCGUGAGAAUCUGCCCUCAGGAGGGGGAUAACGGUUGGAAACGACCGCUAAUACCCCAUAUGCCUACUGGUGAAAUGAAUUUCGCCUGAGGAUGAGCUCGCGUCUGAUUAGCUAGUUGGUGAGGUAAUGGCUCACCAAGGCUUCGAUCAGUAGCUGGUCUGAGAGGAUGAUCAGCCACACUGGGACUGAGACACGGCCCAGACUCCUACGGGAGGCAGCAGUGGGGAAUUUUCCGCAAUGGGCGAAAGCCUGACGGAGCAACGCCGCGUGAGGGACGAAGGCCUCUGGGCUGUAAACCUCUUUUCUCAAGGAAGAAGAUAUGACGGUACUUGAGGAAUAAGCCACGGCUAAUUCCGUGCCAGCAGCCGCGGUAAUACGGGAGUGGCAAGCGUUAUCCGGAAUUAUUGGGCGUAAAGCGUCCGCAGGCGGCUUUUCAAGUCUGCUGUUAAAGCGUGGAGCUUAACUCCAUCAUGGCAGUGGAAACUGAAAGGCUUGAGUAUGGUAGGGGCAGAGGGAAUUCCCGGUGUAGCGGUGAAAUGCGUAGAUAUCGGGAAGAACACCAGUGGCGAAGGCGCUCUGCUGGGCCAUUACUGACGCUCAUGGACGAAAGCCAGGGGAGCGAAAGGGAUUAGAUACCCCUGUAGUCCUGGCCGUAAACGAUGAACACUAGGUGUCGGGGGAAUCGACCCCUUCGGUGUCGUAGCUAACGCGUUAAGUGUUCCGCCUGGGGAGUACGCACGCAAGUGUGAAACUCAAAGGAAUUGACGGGGGCCCGCACAAGCGGUGGAGUAUGUGGUUUAAUUCGAUGCAACGCGAAGAA